UACGUAGGGGGCAAGCGUUGUCCGGAUUUAUUGGGCGUAAAGAGCGUGUAGGCGGCUAGGUAGGUCCGUUGUGAAAACUCGAGGCUCAACCUCGAGACGUCGAUGGAAACCAUCUAGCUAGAGUCCGGAAGAGGAGAGUGGAAUUCCUGGUGUAGCGGUGAAAUGCGUAGAUAUCGAGAGGAACACCGGUGGCGAAGGCGGCCUUCUGGACAGUGACUGACGCUGAGACGCGAAAGCGUGGGGAGCAAACAGG
Molecule: ribosomal RNA, 253 nt
Filed under: uncultured bacterium
Lineage: Bacteria
Description: partial 16S ribosomal RNA
Rfam family: Bacterial small subunit ribosomal RNA
Source: RNAcentral